UACGAAGGGGGCUAGCGUUGCUCGGAAUGACUGGGCGUAAAGGGCGCGUAGGCGGCGGACACAGUCAGAUGUGAAAUUCCCGGGCUCAACCUGGGGGCUGCAUUUGAUACGUGUUUGCUUGAGUGGGGAAGAGGGUCGUGGAAUUCCCAGUGUAGAGGUGAAAUUCGUAGAUAUUGGGAAGAACACCGGUGGCGAAGGCGGCGACCUGGUCCUUGACUGACGCUGAGGCGCGAAAGCGUGGGGAGCAAACAGG
This 253-nucleotide ribosomal RNA is filed under the name uncultured bacterium. RNAcentral's name for it is "partial 16S ribosomal RNA". It matches the Rfam family "Bacterial small subunit ribosomal RNA", at positions 524 to 776 of the family's 1533-position model. The record is from RNAcentral.